UGGUUUGGCUCCUGACAAACACAUCACACCAGUGUCAAGAUUUGGAAAGACAAGGAUCCUCGAUGAAAGGAAACCUACCUGUUCAGUGUUUAAAAGCAUAUUCUGAGAGACUAAGGUGGCCAAGUACUCAUCUUCCUCUUCAUCCCAUGUUUCAGCCUGAGCAUAUGAUCCUGGAAGAAGAAUAAAUGGUUUACCAGUCUCUGAAAUCAAAUCAUUGUAAAACAUAUGUUGCAUUUCUAGCAAUAUCUCUUCACUAUCACCUUCAUAAGCAUCUUCUGGGCCUUCAUAUUCCCACAAUAUAUCAUGGGAAUCCUCAAUUUUUUUUAAUUCAUCAGAAACAAUGUCCUGGAAAGCAGAAUUGAUAAUCUCCUGAAACACAAAAGAACGUUAAAGUCACUGACAACGAAAGUUUCUUUCAAAACAAACAAACCUUCUGAUCUGAAGAUUCACAAUCAGAGUGCCUCAAUUUCCACAGCAGACGUGUCCUUUCUUCUCUAACUCUUCUGAAGCAACUUUCUCUGAGCUACAUUUCAUUAAUUUUACAUUAAAACAAAAACGCCCAGAAACUAGUAAAAA
Brassica rapa (field mustard) is the source of this 576-nucleotide long non-coding RNA. RefSeq lists it as uncharacterized. The record is from RefSeq and is a predicted model, not a curated record. Lineage: Eukaryota; Viridiplantae; Streptophyta; Magnoliopsida; Brassicales; Brassicaceae.